UACAAGCCCCACAGGAUAAGCUAUUUUAGCAGCGACAAAACACAGUGAAAGCAACCUGUCUUCUCUAGCAAUUCUCCAGAGUCAAUUCUCCUUCAGUUGCUGUCCUGACUGUUACCUGCAGAGGGGGUGAUCCUCUGAAUGCUGUUAUUCCUGAGAGCUCAGUCCUGCUCCUCUUACAUAUGGGGCUAGAGGAUACCAUGCAAGAUUGCCUUCAUUAUUUAAAUAUAUUGUGUUAUAACCCUG
Long non-coding RNA from Bombina bombina (fire-bellied toad), 243 nucleotides. RefSeq lists it as uncharacterized. The record is from RefSeq and is a predicted model, not a curated record. NCBI's taxonomy places the organism in Eukaryota, Metazoa, Chordata, Amphibia, Anura, Bombinatoridae. The transcript has 3 exons.